Molecule: ribosomal RNA, 439 nt
Filed under: uncultured bacterium
Lineage: Bacteria
Description: partial 16S ribosomal RNA
Rfam family: Bacterial small subunit ribosomal RNA
Source: RNAcentral
CUACGGGAUGCUCCAGUGGGGAAUAUUGGACAAUGGGCGAAAGCCUGAUCCAGCAAUACCAUGUGAAUGAUGAAGGCCUUAGGGUUGUAAAAUUCUUUUAGUAGGGAAGAUAAUGACGGUACCUACAGAAAAAGCACCGGCUAACUUCGUGCCAGCAGCCGCGGUAAUACGAAGGGUGCUAGCGUUGUUCGGAAUCAUUGGGCGUAAAGCGUACGUAGGCGGUUUAGUAAGUCAGCUGUGAAAGCCCAGGGCUCAACCCUGGAAUUGCAGUUGAAACUACUAGGCUAGAGUAUGGCGGGGGAUAGUGGAAUUCUUAGUGUAGGGGUGAAAUCCGUAGAUAUUAAGAGGAACACCAGUGGCGAAAGCGACUAUCUACACCAUUACUGACGCUCAGGUACGAAAGCGUGGGGAGCAAACAGGAUUAGAUACCCUUGUAGUC